UAACAAGGUAACGUGAAUAUUUUCCUUUAUCUUCACUGGUAGCUAGCAUAUUGAUCAUGUCGUGACCAACGGCUGCACUACAAGAUGGAUCAGGGCAUCGUAGCAUUAAGCAUCCAGGUCCAUCAUUUAUUGAUGUGCCCAUGUAACCUUGCCAGCAUGCGCCACAGAAAGGAUGCCCGCAAGCAGCAGCACUCAUCAUCUCACGGGGAUAGGACUCG
Molecule: unclassified non-coding RNA, 218 nt
Filed under: Hevea brasiliensis (rubber tree)
Lineage: Eukaryota; Viridiplantae; Streptophyta; Magnoliopsida; Malpighiales; Euphorbiaceae
Source: RNAcentral